AACGCGAAGAACCUUACCAAAUCUUGACAUCCUCUGACCUCUCUAGAGAUAGAGUUUUCCCCUUCGGGGGACAGAGUGACAGGUGGUGCAUGGUUGUCGUCAGCUCGUGUCGUGAGAUGUUGGGUUAAGUCCCGCAACGAGCGCAACCCUUAAGCUUAGUUGCCAUCAUUAAGUUGGGCACUCUAAGUUGACUGCCGGUGACAAACCGGAGGAAGGUGGGGAUGACGUCAAAUCAUCAUGCCCCUUAUGAUUUGGCUACACACGUGCUACAAUGGACAAUACAAAGGGUAGCGAAACCGCGAGGUCAAGCAAAUCCCAUAAAGUUGUUCUCAGUUCGGAUUGUAGUCUGCAACUCGACUAUAUGAAGCUGGAAUCGCUAGUAAUCGUAGAUCAGCAUGCUACGGUGAAUACGUUCCCGGGUCUUGUACACACCG
This 434-nucleotide ribosomal RNA is filed under the name uncultured bacterium. Its description in RNAcentral is "bacterial SSU rRNA". It matches the Rfam family "Bacterial small subunit ribosomal RNA", at positions 958 to 1392 of the family's 1533-position model. The record is from RNAcentral.